UGGUAGGGGCGGGACUAUGUAGAAGUGCUGUCCAUCUGUGGCGAUACAGAUUUAAAAAAAAAUGGACUGACGGAGUGUAAGCUAACGUUGUUCUUCGCGUGAACUAAUACUUGCUUUGAAGCGGAGGGAAACGUUUUUCCUGCUAAGCGCGAGGAAGUUACUGAAAAAUCUCGCCUUCAGCUUAAUUGUUUUGGGAAAUUCGGCGACCUGGCUUUAAAAAUUGGGCCCCCCUUUGGAACUCCACAAAGUGAAGGUUGAUAUGCCACAUCAGACAGAUGCAUCCCUCCACAUUCCACAUGUGUAUGUCUGCUUGCCCACAGCAGGGGCUGGUGUGCAAAUCCCCUUAAAUCCAAAUAUGCAGUUGGAUAAAAAAUAAAAUAAAAUAAAAAAAGGAA
Long non-coding RNA from Poecilia latipinna (sailfin molly), 395 nucleotides. RefSeq lists it as uncharacterized. The record is from RefSeq and is a predicted model, not a curated record. The transcript is spliced from 3 exons. NCBI's taxonomy places the organism in Eukaryota, Metazoa, Chordata, Actinopteri, Cyprinodontiformes, Poeciliidae.